RNAcentral lists this ribosomal RNA (450 nucleotides) under uncultured bacterium. RNAcentral describes it as "bacterial SSU rRNA". It matches the Rfam family "Bacterial small subunit ribosomal RNA", at positions 354 to 796 of the family's 1533-position model. The record is from RNAcentral.
GUGGGGAAUAUUGCGCAAUGGGGGCAACCCUGACGCAGCCAUGCCGCGUGAAUGAAGAAGGCCUUCGGGUUGUAAAGUUCUUUCGGUAGCGAGGAAGGCAUUUAGUUUAAUAGACUAGGUGAUUGACGUUAACUACAGAAGAAGCACCGGCUAACUCCGUGCCAGCAGCCGCGGUAAUACGGAGGGUGCGAGCGUUAAUCGGAAUAACUGGGCGUAAAGGGCACGCAGGCGGUGACUUAAGUGAGGUGUGAAAGCCCCGGGCUUAACCUGGGAAUUGCAUUUCAUACUGGGUCGCUAGAGUACUUUAGGGAGGGGUAGAAUUCCACGUGUAGCGGUGAAAUGCGUAGAGAUGUGGAGGAAUACCGAAGGCGAAGGCAGCCCCUUGGGAAUGUACUGACGCUCAUGUGCGAAAGCGUGGGGAGCAAACAGGAUUAGAAACCCUAGUAGUCC